Long non-coding RNA from Scatophagus argus, 1504 nucleotides. RefSeq lists it as uncharacterized. The record is from RefSeq and is a predicted model, not a curated record. The transcript is spliced from 4 exons. NCBI's taxonomy places the organism in Eukaryota, Metazoa, Chordata, Actinopteri, Scatophagidae.
GUGACCGUAAAUGCGCACAGUGUAGCAGGAAAUGAAAUUCGCCGGCGCAUCACAUGAUGUGGAUGUGACUGGUUAUAUAAAAGUAUAGGGCACAGUUGGAGUGAACCAGAUAGGAUGAUGCCUGUCAUUUUAAAGACUAACGCUCUUCUCGUCUGUGUCUGGAAAUUUCGCCUCUGCGUGACCUUGUGAACUUGUCUGCCGCGUGACCUCCAAAAAUCCCUCUAACGGCUCCCCGACCACCCCUCUACAUCUUUGCGCUCAUUUGUACAGGCUAUUAUCCAGGCAGGAAGUGACAUCAACGGGUCCAAACUAAAAAUAUGUCGCAGGACGUGCAGUCUAGGAUGUCCAGGACCGGUGUUUGUACAGGAGGAUGCCUUGCACCGGCUCUACAAAGUGAUGCUCACUGAAGGAUGCAGGAGAGCGCCACACAGGCGAGACACACAGACGUACUGGAGGCUGAGCUCUCUAUCAUGGCUGUCUGGAGAGCACAGUGCUGUUUGCUCCCCACUUAUAGCUGAGCACCAGCAACUGUGCCCUGUCCUGAGUAGUCUGCGUUAAGAUAUGCAUUGAUUAACUCCUUGAAAGCAGUCACCCAUGAAAGGACAGAAACGCUGCAGCGAGCCUGACCGGAGACCUAGCCCUGAAGAUCCAAAGCUCUCAUCAUUUAUUUAUCCACACACAGGCAGACAAUACAACACAACACAUGCCCCUCCUGUACCAGGACCAGCAUCUGCCAGUUAGAAGAGGGUUCAGCAAAGUUUAGGUGGGGUUAGGUGGGAACGGGAUGGACCAGCUCAGCUAGCACACACUCACACACGCACAAGGCACAAUCAGAACAUAAUCUGCACCUUUUUGUCUGUAGCUGAACUUCUUCAGUGUUGUCAUGGCGAUGUAAUUUUCUCCCCCAGAGGGGCUGUUGUUCUGUUGCCAAUUGGACUGUAAUGUUGGUGGUGGCUGAAAGGAAGGAGGGGGGGGGGCAGGGUGCACUUGACUGUACUCUGAUAAGGAGUUCUUUGAGGAGAAAGCUAUGAUGUACUGAACUUGAGAAAGCCUUUUGAUCUCAGUUUGUAUGCUAAUGAAUCUGGUCUUAUGUAUGCAUUGUAAAGCAACUCUUUGCCUUUGUUUAUUUAGAUGGGUUUAUGUGGAGCCUUUAUCCUUCAGACGUUAUUGUGUCAUUUGCAUUAACCUCAUUCCAAAGAUAAUUGCAGCGGUUGCAGGCUUUCUUUCAAUUUGCCUGUUUUGUGUGUGCUCCUGCACACACAGCCAAACUUCUGUCUGUUUGAUAGCCUGACUGCAAGCCCCUCUCACUUUGCAGACUUCUGUCUCCCUCAGCACACUUGCUCCCGCAGCACUCAUCCACGAGCAACGCACUCAUUCACACGCACUUUCGCAUGACUACACAAAUGCACAAACAGGACUUUCAGCCUUCACUGGCUCACGCACACAAAACACACUCGCUUACUCGCUCAGGAAUUAUCGCGGUAGUAAAACUAGAGAGGAAGAA